CGGAGGAACAACUCCAGUGGCGGCGGCCAGCUCUGGAGCCCUGGAGUCAGCCCCCGCAGUAACUCCGGAGUUCUUGGUCUGCAGGGCCUGUGGGCUCCGGGGCGGG
Molecule: microRNA precursor, 106 nt
Filed under: Canis lupus familiaris (dog)
Lineage: Eukaryota; Metazoa; Chordata; Mammalia; Carnivora; Canidae
Also listed under: 1 other name
Description: mir-8834 microRNA precursor family
Rfam family: mir-8834 microRNA precursor family
Source: Rfam by way of RNAcentral